RNAcentral lists this ribosomal RNA (497 nucleotides) under uncultured bacterium. RNAcentral describes it as "partial 16S ribosomal RNA". It matches the Rfam family "Bacterial small subunit ribosomal RNA", at positions 28 to 507 of the family's 1533-position model. The record is from RNAcentral.
GAUGAACGCUGGCGGCGUGCCUAAUACAUGCAAGUCGAGCGAACGGACGAGAAGCUUGCUUCUCUGAUGUUAGCGGCGGACGGGUGAGUAACACGUGGAUAACCUACCUAUAAGACUGGGAUAACUUCGGGAAACCGGAGCUAAUACCGGAUGAUAUUUUGAACCGCAUGGUUCAAAAGUGAAAGACGGUCUUGCUGUCACUUAUAGAUGGAUCCGCGCUGCAUUAGCUAGUUGGUAAGGUAACGGCUUACCAAGGCAACGAUGCAUAGCCGACCUGAGAGGGUGAUCGGCCACACUGGAACUGAGACACGGUCCAGACUCCUACGGGAGGCAGCAGUAGGGAAUGGUCCGCAAUGGGCGAAAGCCUGACGGAGCAACGCCGCGUGAGUGAUGAAGGUCUUCGGAUCGUAAAACUCUGUUAUUAGGGAAGAACAUAUGUGUAAGUAACUGUGCACAUCUUGGCGGUACCUAAUCAGAAAGCCACGGCUAACUACGUG